This 101-nucleotide small RNA is filed under the name Heyndrickxia sporothermodurans. RNAcentral describes it as "Bacillus sporothermodurans Guanidine-I sequence". It matches the Rfam family "Guanidine-I riboswitch aptamer". From Rfam's summary of the family: This family represents a conserved RNA structure found upstream of the ykkC and yxkD genes in Bacillus subtilis and related genes in other bacteria. The function of this family is unclear although it has been suggested that it may function to switch on efflux pumps and detoxification systems in response to harmful environmental molecules. The record is from Rfam by way of RNAcentral. Lineage: Bacteria; Bacillati; Bacillota; Bacilli; Caryophanales; Bacillaceae.
GAGUAGGUUUUCUAGGGUUCCGCGUAUUUUUUGACGGUCUGGUCCGAGAGAAAGCCCACAGUUAUUUAGCUGUGUCACGGAAGGAUAAAAGCCUGGGAGAU